UACGUAGGGGGCAAGCGUUGUCCGGAAUUAUUGGGCGUAAAGCGCGCGCAGGCGGUUCUUUAAGUCUGGUGUUUAAGUGCGGGGCUCAACCCCGUGACGCACUGGAAACUGGGGAACUUGAGUGCAGAAGAGGAGAGCGGAAUUCCACGUGUAGCGGUGAAAUGCGUAGAGAUGUGGAGGAACACCAGUGGCGAAGGCGGCUCUCUGGGGCGUUCCUGACGCUGAGGUUCGAAAGCUCGGGGAGCAAACAGG
Molecule: ribosomal RNA, 252 nt
Filed under: uncultured bacterium
Lineage: Bacteria
Description: partial 16S ribosomal RNA
Rfam family: Bacterial small subunit ribosomal RNA
Source: RNAcentral